UACGAAGGGGGCGAGCGUUGUUCGGAUUUACUGGGCGUAAAGGGCGCGCAGGCGGCUCAUUUUGUCAGGCGUGAAAGCCCCGGGCUUAACCUGGGAACUGCGUUUGAUACGGAUGGGCUAGAGUUCGGGAGAGGAGAGUGGAAUUCCCAGUGUAGAGGUGAAAUUCGUAGAUAUCGGGAGGAACACCAGUGGCGAAGGCGGCGACCUGGACAGAUAUUGACGCUGAGGUGCGAAAGCGUGGGGAGCAAACAGG
This 253-nucleotide ribosomal RNA is filed under the name uncultured bacterium. RNAcentral describes it as "partial 16S ribosomal RNA". It matches the Rfam family "Bacterial small subunit ribosomal RNA", at positions 524 to 776 of the family's 1533-position model. The record is from RNAcentral.